GAUGAACGCUGGCGGCGUGCCUAAUACAUGCAAGUCGAGCGAACAGACGGGGAGCUUGCUCCUCUGAUUUUAUCGGCGGACGGGUGAUUACCUCGUGGUUAACCUACCUAUCAGACUGGGAUAAUUUCGGGAAACCGUAGCUAAUACCGGAUAACUUGUUGAACUUCAUGGUUCAACCGUUAAAGCCGCUCUUGCUUUCACUUAUAGAUUGAUCCGCGCCGCAUUAGCUAGUUGUUAAGGUAACGGCUUACCAAGGCAACGAUGCGUAGCCGACCUGAGAGGGUGAUCGGACACACUGGAACUGAGACACGGUCCAGACUCCUACGGGAGGCAGCAGUAGGGAAUCUUACGCAAUGGGCGAAAGCCUGACGGAGCAACGCCGCGUGAGUGAUGAAGGUCUUCGGAUCGUAAAACUCUGUUAUUAGGGAAGAACAAAUGUGUAAGUAACUAUGCACGUAUUGACGGUACCUAAUCAGAAAGCCACGGCUAACUACGUG
Molecule: ribosomal RNA, 497 nt
Filed under: uncultured bacterium
Lineage: Bacteria
Description: partial 16S ribosomal RNA
Rfam family: Bacterial small subunit ribosomal RNA
Source: RNAcentral